CUCUCUCUCUACACAAAAAAAACUCAAUUCUCUCUCCCUUCUCUCUACAAUCAAACACUACUUUUAUAUCAUUUUCACCAAGAAUACUAUGAAGAUGCUCAAGAUCACAUAAUCAAAAAUUGCCAAAACACCACAAAAUCAAUCCUCUUCUUCUCCGAUUACCUCCGGCUAUCGAUUGACCACUGCGACCUCCUCCCUCAGCCGCAAUCUCCUAUACACCGAUCCGCUUACGUGGUCGUGACAUCGCCGACAAAUCUUGUCCGGCCGCUCCAUUCGCCAAUUUCGUUUCCGGCCGCCGCAACGUGACGUUUCCGGCGAUCUCCUAUCCCUCUCGCGCGAGACAUCCGCGAUUGCUUUCUCCAACCUUCUCUUCGUUCACGUUUCGGUAAUUCGUUAAACCUUAAUUACAAUUGAAUCUUGACUUACUUGAUUUUGUUUUAUGGAAAUUGAGUUGGUGUUGUUCUUGUGUCUAGAUUGAAAUACUUGAAUCAAUUUGAUGAUGGUGUUGUUUUGUUUGCUUAUGGAUGGAUGAUGAUGCUGAAAAUUAUUUGAGGUUUUGUUUUGAUGUUAAUUGAGUGAAUCAUUGUGGCAAUUGUGUUGUUCGUGUUUGUUGUAUAAUAGUAUAUUUAGAGAGCUAGUUGCAACAUUGAUUAAACGUUGUUGUUGCUGAAUUUUCCCAAAGCUUGGUGGUGAUAGAUGAGGCACAUAGCGCUUGGUUCAUUUUUUGUUGCUCAUGAGUGUUGUUAGCAGUACGUUUAAACGUGAUAGUUCUUGCAAAAUGGAAAUAAUGCUUGUGCUGAAUUUUUGAACAUGAAUAUAGCGUCAUGAGUCAAUAAUGAGGUUUGCGAUUAAUUGCUUAAAAUUCUUGAAGGUAAUUUUGAUGCUACUUGUUGUAUUAUGUAAUGGCAUGGUGAACCAAAUAAUCAUGAUUAUGGAUGUACAUUGAAAGCUAGAAUUUGGAAAUUAUUGGUGGUUGUCGUUAUUGCUUCUAUUCUUGAAUUUGAGUUUUAUGCAUAAUCAUUGAUUCUUGAAGGGUAAAGUUAUGUGAGAUAAACAUUGAUAAAUGGUGAUGAUUCUUAAAAUUAUGGACUGGUAUAGACAUGUUAAUUGGUGUAUGACACAAUAUUGAGAAUUGAAUGUGUUAUGCUUACUUGUAAAAUUGUUGAGAAUUUGACACUUGGUGCUUACUUGAAGCUAUGCUUUAUUCUAAUUUUCAACAUGUCAAUUAUAUGCUAUCUUGUGCAAAAUACCAUGAACCAUUUUCUUGUGUUUAGGUGUGUUUUUAAUGGACUUUUUGGGACUGUUUUAAAACUGUUUUAGUGCAGAAUUUUUGUUGGCAUUGGUUGUGUUGCAUUUCAUUUAGUUUGGCUCAUAAAAAAUAUGAAAAUAUAAGAGUAAUUGUUGUGCUUAUUGUUUAGUAAUUAAUGGUGGAUUCAAAUAGGUAAAAUGGGCUUUAUAUGAGUGCCAAUCAUUGAUAAAAUAUGCUGGAAUUUCUGAAUUGCAUUUGUUUUUUUUCCUCUUUUUCUCAAUUUUACAAAACGCACGCGAUACGUCGACUUUAAUUGGGAAUACCAUAUCUUUUGAUCCAAUUAGCAUUUUCGAGCAUGUGAAUAAUGUUUGUUGAGUGGAAUAAUGUUUUCAGAACUGUUCGAGCGCUUUAUUUUCGGUUUCGGCCGACUUUUUAUUAUCAAUUUUGCUUCUUCCCCGUCUAGAAAGUCGUGCCUUCAGGCCAAUUUAAUAAAUUUAGAUCAUGUUUUUGAGUUUCUUGACACGUUUUAUAGUAACUGUGUGAUUUUUUUUAAUUCCGAUGACUUUUAUUUUUUAGUGGUUUAUACCGUUUUCACUAGUAUCCGGGUUCAAUUGACAUGUGUAGUUUUGCUUCGAAUUUCAUUUGCAUUCAUAUCCUUUUAAUAUUUGCAUACUAUUUCAAUCAUGUUGGCUACUUAGGUUUGGUUUCGCUUAUUUCUUGAGUGUGCGUGGUUCCGUUACAUUAUUUUAUACCUUUCUUCAUAUUUUCAGUCUUGUCGCAACUUCGGGCUGCGUUUUUGUUAUCUAUGACAUAUUUGCUACUGUAUGCUAGGAAUAUUCGGGAGAUUCUUGUUUGGUGCGAGCCGCCUCGUGUUCCACUUUAUUUGUGGGACACGAUACUAUGAUAUUUGUCUGUAUGUAUUGUGUAUUCGUCUGCAGGUGUUGCACGAGGGUGCUGAUAUAUGACUCGAUGCGACGUGCGGUUUAUUUUCGCGAUGUCGCAGUGCUUUGAUAUUUUGAUUCUGCGGAUUCCUGAUGUUGCUUGUUGCUUGUGGACAGUUGUUACGCGAUAUUCCCAGAUUUCUCCGCUUACGCUUGCUAGCUCAUUGCGGAUUUUCUAUCCGUACGGGGGCUUCAGAUAUUUGACCGGUGCGACAUAGAGAGUCGACCAAUUCGAAGGCGGGAUGAAAUAGAUAUUCACCCAUCAUUUUUCUGUUAAAGGAAAAAUUAGAAUGAAUAUGUACAAACCAACUGGUUUAAUUAAUCUAAGAAUUACUAAUAAAAUGUUUUUUUUUAUUUUAA
Molecule: long non-coding RNA, 2550 nt
Organism: Vicia villosa (hairy vetch)
Lineage: Eukaryota; Viridiplantae; Streptophyta; Magnoliopsida; Fabales; Fabaceae
Exons: 2
Source: RefSeq, a predicted model, not a curated record